UCUAUUAUGGCAGAUUAGUGCAGUGGAUUUAAGCUCUACAAAUAAAGUAAUUAAACUUUUAUUAGAA
This 67-nucleotide transfer RNA is filed under the name Balta hwangorum. Its description in RNAcentral is "tRNA-Leu". Lineage: Eukaryota; Metazoa; Arthropoda; Insecta; Blattodea; Pseudophyllodromiidae. RNAcentral also lists the same sequence under 1 other name. The record is from RNAcentral.